Molecule: ribosomal RNA, 253 nt
Filed under: uncultured bacterium
Lineage: Bacteria
Description: partial 16S ribosomal RNA
Rfam family: Bacterial small subunit ribosomal RNA
Source: RNAcentral
UACGAAGGGUGCAAGCGUUAUUCGGAUUUAUUGGGCGUAAAGGGUGCGUAGGUGGUGUGUUAAGUCUGUUGUUAAAUUUUCCGGCCUAACCGGAAAUCUGCAAUGGAAACUGGCGCACUUGAGAGUGGAAGAGGGAAGUGGAAUUCUCGGAGUAGCGGUAAAAUGCGUGGAUCUCGAGAGGAACACCGAUGGCGAAGGCAGCUUCCUGGUCCAUUUCUGACACUGAUGCACGAAAGCGUGGGGAGCAAACAGG